Zalaria obscura is the source of this 96-nucleotide non-coding RNA. Lineage: Eukaryota; Fungi; Ascomycota; Dothideomycetes; Dothideales; Zalariaceae. The record is from the annotation of a GenBank genome assembly.
ACCCUAUUGACGCAGUGGCUUAGCGUGUCGUUCUUAUAUUCUUCCCGAAAGGGACGAGAUAUGCGAAAGUCGUGAGUUCGAAUCUCACAUAGGGUA